This 465-nucleotide ribosomal RNA is filed under the name Vreelandella stevensii. RNAcentral describes it as "partial 16S ribosomal RNA". It matches the Rfam family "Bacterial small subunit ribosomal RNA", at positions 338 to 795 of the family's 1533-position model. The record is from RNAcentral. Lineage: Bacteria; Pseudomonadati; Pseudomonadota; Gammaproteobacteria; Oceanospirillales; Halomonadaceae.
CCUACGGGUGGCAGCAGUGGGGAAUAUUGGACAAUGGGCGAAAGCCUGAUCCAGCCAUGCCGCGUGUGUGAAGAAGGCCUUCGGGUUGUAAAGCACUUUCAGUGGGGAAGAAAGCCUUGGGGCUAAUACCCUCGAGGAAGGACAUCACCCACAGAAGAAGCACCGGCUAACUCCGUGCCAGCAGCCGCGGUAAUACGGAGGGUGCGAGCGUUAAUCGGAAUUACUGGGCGUAAAGCGCGCGUAGGCGGUCUGAUAAGCCGGUUGUGAAAGCCCCGGGCUCAACCUGGGAACGGCAUCCGGAACUGUCAGGCUAGAGUGCAGGAGGGGAAGGUAGAAUUCCCGGUGUAGCGGUGAAAUGCGUAGAGAUCGGGAGGAAUACCAGUGGCGAAGGCGGCCUUCUGGACUGACACUGACGCUGAGGUGCGAAAGCGUGGGUAGCAAACAGGAUUAGAUACCCCAGUAGUC